RNAcentral lists this ribosomal RNA (1449 nucleotides) under uncultured bacterium. RNAcentral describes it as "bacterial SSU rRNA". It matches the Rfam family "Bacterial small subunit ribosomal RNA". The record is from RNAcentral. RNAcentral also lists the same sequence under 1 other name.
AGAGUUUGAUCAUGGCUCAGAUUGAACGCUGGCGGCAGGCUUAACACAUGCAAGUCGAGCGGGGAAUGGUAGCUUGCUACCUGACCUAGCGGCGGACGGGUGAGUAAUGCUUAGGAAUCUGCCUAUUAGUGGGGGACAACAUUCCGAAAGGAAUGCUAAUACCGCAUACGCCCUACGGGGGAAAGCAGGGGAUCUUCGGACCUUGCGCUAAUAGAUGAGCCUAAGUCAGAUUAGCUAGUUGGUGGGGUAAAGGCCUACCAAGGCGACGAUCUGUAGCGGGUCUGAGAGGAUGAUCCGCCACACUGGGACUGAGACACGGCCCAGACUCCUACGGGAGGCAGCAGUGGGGAAUAUUGGACAAUGGGCGCAAGCCUGAUCCAGCCAUGCCGCGUGUGUGAAGAAGGCCUUUUGGUUGUAAAGCACUUUAAGCGAGGAGGAGGCUACUUGGAUUAAUACUCUAGGAUAGUGGACGUUACUCGCAGAAUAAGCACCGGCUAACUCUGUGCCAGCAGCCGCGGUAAUACAGAGGGUGCGAGCGUUAAUCGGAUUUACUGGGCGUAAAGCGUGCGUAGGCGGCUUUUUAAGUCGGAUGUGAAAUCCCUGAGCUUAACUUAGGAAUUGCAUUCGAUACUGGGAAGCUAGAGUAUGGGAGAGGAUGGUAGAAUUCCAGGUGUAGCGGUGAAAUGCGUAGAGAUCUGGAGGAAUACCGAUGGCGAAGGCAGCCAUCUGGCCUAAUACUGACGCUGAGGUACGAAAGCAUGGGGAGCAAACAGGAUUAGAUACCCUGGUAGUCCAUGCCGUAAACGAUGUCUACUAGCCGUUGGGGCCUUUGAGGCUUUAGUGGCGCAGCUAACGCGAUAAGUAGACCGCCUGGGGAGUACGGUCGCAAGACUAAAACUCAGAUGAAUUGACGGGGGCCCGCACAAGCGGUGGAGCAUGUGGUUUAAUUCGAUGCAACGCGAAGAACCUUACCUGGUCUUGACAUAGUAAGAACUUUCCAGAGAUGCGGGAGUGCCUUCGGGAAUUAGAAUACAGGUGCUGCAUGGCUGUCGUCAGCUCGUGUCGUGAGAUGUUGGGUUAAGUCCCGCAACGAGCGCAACCCUUGUCCUUAGUUACCAGCGGUUUGGCCGGGAACUCUAAGGAUACUGCCAGUGACAAACUGGAGGAAGGCGGGGACGACGUCAAGUCAUCAUGGCCCUUACGACCAGGGCUACACACGUGCUACAAUGGUAGGUACAGAGGGCAGCUACACAGCGAUGUGAUGCGAAUCUCAAAAAGCCUAUCGUAGUCCAGAUUGGAGUCUGCAACUCGACUCCAUGAAGUAGGAAUCGCUAGUAAUCGCGGAUCAGAAUGCCGCGGUGAAUACGUUCCCGGGCCUUGUACACACCGCCCGUCACACCAUGGGAGUUUGUUGCACCAGAAGUAGGUAGUCUAACCUUAGGGGGGACG